UGGGGAAUAUUGGACAAUGGGCGAAAGCCUGAUCCAGCAAUGCCGCGUGAGUGAUGAAGGCCUUAGGGUUGUAAAGCUCUUUUACCCGGGAAGAUAAUGACUGUACCGGGAGAAUAAGCCCCGGCUAACUCCGUGCCAGCAGCCGCGGUAAUACGGAGGGGGCUAGCGUUGUUCGGAAUUACUGGGCGUAAAGCGUACGUAGGCGGCUUUGUAAGUUAGAGGUGAAAGCCCGGGGCUCAACCCCGGAAUUGCCUUUAAGACUGCAUCGCUUGAAUCGCGGAGAGGUGAGUGGAAUUCCGAGUGUAGAGGUGAAAUUCGUAGAUAUUCGGAAGAACACCAGUGGCGAAGGCGGCUCACUGGACGCGUAUUGACGCUGA
Molecule: ribosomal RNA, 377 nt
Filed under: uncultured bacterium
Lineage: Bacteria
Description: bacterial SSU rRNA
Rfam family: Bacterial small subunit ribosomal RNA
Source: RNAcentral